GCUGUGCUGUGCUGUGCUGUGCUGUGCUGUGCUGUGCUGUGCUGUGCUGUGCUGUGCUGUGCUGUGCUGUGCUGUGCUGUGCUGUGCUGUGCUGUGCUGUGCUGUGCUGUGCUGUGCUGUGCUGUGCUUCCUUCUCCGUUGAUCUGGAGUGGUCUCUCCCAUCGGGAAAUGUGUGUGGAGUAUUACAGCUGAAGAGUUAUCGUGAAGGAAGAAGAGUGUGGCUUGUUGGACCCAAGGGCAGUGAAAGAGAGUGGAAUUCGUCGCCUGGACUGGGAGAGAGUGAAGGAUUAUCAGGGAAAAUUCAAGGAAUAUCGUCAGCAGUGGGAAAGACGCCAGUGAUGAGUAUUUGAUCCGUUGUUUAUAUGCACUAAACACUGAAGUGGUAUUGAGAGUUCGGAUAGUGUGUGGCACGAGUGAAUUAGUACACCGAGUGGAUUGUUGAUCUGACUCUAACUUCUGUCCUCCCCUUUGCUGAAUGUGACGAUAUCUGCACCCGCUUUUCUCUGGAGAGAAAUUGAACCCUUGCACGGACGAGAUUUGAUAUUGUGGGAGAAGGACCGGAGGGGUGAGUGCUGGCCCGAAUGCACGGUGUGCGAGUGAGAUGCUGUGCCUGAAGUGACGAUUCACACGGUUUGUGUUAUGGAGUGAGGUUUAUUGUGUGGAGAAGUAAUAGUAGUCUGCUGUGCACUCUCCUCCCAGUCUUUCAUCCGCUGUCUCCAGGGAAGGGCUUUUUGAUACCACAAAGCGCCCGAUUUAUUACUUCAAGGCAACCCGGCUCUGUCAAUUCUGAAGGUUUUACAUGCUGUUGAACAGUUAAACCCGGCUGUAUCGUUCCAGUGAAUAGCUGAAGUGGAGUGUUCCGCUCAAAGUGUCCUCUCCGCCUGGUGGUCUCCACAUGUCCCCGCCGAAAGCCUCUGUCCUGGUCAGAAAGGAAGAAGCGAAAGCCCCGCUCAGCUUGUGACCUGAGUUUGUUGCAGCUCUGAAACCCAUCGGUGUAGUGUGAAGUACCCGUCCACUAUUCGCCACUGAGUCCGGCGUCAGCGCCAGAAGGGAGUAAGCUCCGACUCACCUGUUCCCUUGGGACACCCACCUGUUUCUUACUCACCACUGUGAGCCCGGCGUCAGUGCCAGAAGGAAGUGAGCCCCGAUCCACAUACCUACCUAGGACACCCACCGUCCAUUACUCACUACCGUGAGUCUGACACCGUUGCCCGACAAGGCUUGCUUUGGAUUCCUAGGAAGAGGAAGGAAGAGGAUUUUAGAUUAGGGUUUUCAAAUUACUUUUAAAUAUAAAAUAAAGCUUGUGAUUCUUUUA
Molecule: long non-coding RNA, 1315 nt
Organism: Triplophysa dalaica
Lineage: Eukaryota; Metazoa; Chordata; Actinopteri; Cypriniformes; Nemacheilidae
Exons: 2
Source: RefSeq, a predicted model, not a curated record